GUUGAUUUUUGAGUAGUGAACCAGCUUUGCAUUCCUGGGCAUAGAGUAAAAAGAUUCCUGAGUCUGAGUCUACUGACAAAUAUACCACAUCCCCAGAGUAACUUGGAGUCUCUUAAAAUUGUCUUGCUGGCAUCUAGCGGAGAUUGUCCCCAUAAGCAUGUUCCUUAUGAUGGAUGCCUGGGUCAGAACACAUAAUACAUUCUUUUUUAUAAGCAUGAGGAUUCUGAGAAGCACUGCCCCUCCCACGUGUCACACUCUGGGGAGAGAUGAUUGGAAUGCCUCUUGGAUCAGGUAUCUUUGGUGAUCAUUCCACCUAGUUAAGAUGAAGCUGGUGAUACCCUUUGGCUU
Molecule: long non-coding RNA, 348 nt
Filed under: Pongo abelii (Sumatran orangutan)
Lineage: Eukaryota; Metazoa; Chordata; Mammalia; Primates; Hominidae
Description: lincRNA
Source: RNAcentral